Long non-coding RNA from Erigeron canadensis, 210 nucleotides. RefSeq lists it as uncharacterized. The record is from RefSeq and is a predicted model, not a curated record. Lineage: Eukaryota; Viridiplantae; Streptophyta; Magnoliopsida; Asterales; Asteraceae. The transcript has 3 exons.
CGAUAUAAUGCUCGGCCUAUCAAGCUGAGUUUUGUUAAGACGUUGAGUCAGCUUGUUGCGAUGAUUCAGGAUUCAUAAUGGAUUUGGACAAGAGCUGGACUAAAAUCACUAAUAAGUUUGAUCGAAGGUUCAUCAAUGGAGCACUAGCUUUUGCAGAAAUGGGUGAAAGAUACAUUGAUAGUCAAGGCAAUAUGCAUUGUCCAUGUAAGG